CAUUGCGGCCAUACCGCCUUUGCGAUCCCUGAUCCCGUCAGAUCUUAGAAGCUAAGCAGGGAAGGGCCUGGUCGGUACUUGGAUGGGAGACCGUUUGGGAAUACCACAGGGCAGCUGUGG
RNAcentral lists this ribosomal RNA (120 nucleotides) under Neogobius melanostomus (round goby). Lineage: Eukaryota; Metazoa; Chordata; Actinopteri; Gobiiformes; Gobiidae. The record is from RNAcentral.